UUUUUUUUUUUUUUUUUUUUUUUGAGACAGGGUGUCACUAUGUCACCAAGGCUGGAGUGCAGUGGCACCGCCAUAGCUUACUGCAGUCUUAACCUCCUGGGCUCAAGCAAUCCUCCCACCUCAGCUUCUCAAGUAGCUGGAACUACAGGUCUGUACCAUCACACCUGGUUACUUUUCGUUUUGUUUUGUUACUGGUCUUGAACUCCUGGCUUCAAGUGACCCACCUGCCCCAGCCUCACAAAGCUCUAGGAUUGCAGGGGUUUGCUGCCAUGCCCAGCCUUGACUGCAUAUAGUAAUUCAUCUUUUAAGAUUCAUUCCAUGAUUUUUUCCUCUCUGCUAUCUUCAUCAAACUCCUCAAAACACACAGGAUACUUUGAAUUGAAACAAUGAAGUCAAACUGUUUCUGAUUUAAAGUAAAUCUGAUUUGUCUAGUUUGACAAUGAAAAUGGGCUGUUUAUUAGGUUAUAAGGUAAACAUUUAACAUACUUUCAAAUCUUUUUUUUUUCUUGUUUUUGAGAAGGGUCUCACUCUGUCCCUCAACCUGGAGUGCAGUGGCCCCAUCAUGGCUCACUGCACACUUGACUUCCUGGGCUCAGGUGAUCCUCCCACCUAAUCCUCCCAAGUAGGUAGGACUACAGAUGCCCGGCACUACACCGCCUAAUUUCUUUUAUUUUUUUGUAGAGGUGGGGUCUUGCCAUGUCACCCAGGCUGGUCUUGAACUCUGGACUCAAGCGAUCCUCCUGCCUCAGCCUCCCAAAGGGCCAGGAUUACAGGCGUGAGACACUGUGCCCAGUGACAAAGAUUUUGAACUUGAAUGAGCUAAAUCUGCAGUUGCAAAUUUUGACAAAAACAAAAUUUAACCACCUGAUAACAAAAAUAAAUCUUAUCCAAAACUAUUUAUGAAAUGAACAAUGUUUAGAUAUUCUCCACUCUUUCAGCAUAUCGGGUGAAAGGUACAUCUCAUUGAAAAAAUCAGGUCGAAUUCAUAGUCAUUUGGUAUCUUGGUAAAACCUAUCUGGUAUAUUUCCCAGAAUCUGAAAAAGUGAAAAAAUAAGGAUUAAGUAAACAAAUCCUUUGGUGAGUCAGGUGGUUUUCGGUUCUUUGCUUCUGAUAAAAAGGAAGGAGGGCCUAAUUGAAGUCAGCUCAUAUUUUUUGAAGUCAACCAAUUUUUUGAGGUCAAGAAUUGAAUGAUAUUGCUACAACAAAACUCUUCCAUUCCUAGGCACAGUACUUGUUUAUAUUAGCAAGGUUUCUCAGGGCACACAGCUAUAAAAAUUACAAAUAGGAAUAGAAUUGAUGCUCAACCUUUUUUCUCCUACUAAUAAGACAUAUUCAGCCACAGAUGUAGGAACUCUUAAAAGCAGCAAUAUGCAUUUUUCAAUAAAAUUACAUAUACUAUUUAAUAAUUAUGAAAUUUUCUAAUAUUUAUGUUGCUUUGACCAGGUACUACUAACAAUUUCAAGGAUGAUGCAGUCCUAAAGCAGGUGAUUUGCUAGCUGUGUAACCUUAUUCAACACACUUCAUUUAUCCGGGCCUUGGUUCCCUGAUUUGCAAAUUGGGGAUAGUAAUCGGACCUAGCUCUUAGUGUUUGUCCAAAGAUUAAAUAAGUUAAUAUAUGUAAAAGCACUUAACGCCACGCUUGGUACGUAAUAUGUGCUAUGGAUGUUUUACCGGCUAUAAUCAUAGUAAUCAAUAGCAAAAAGCCUAAAACCAAAAGCCUGUCGGUUUGUCUUCACACAUAGGAAGAAGGGGCUGGAGGGAUCCGGACUAAUCCACAGGCACACUGCCAGAAACAAGGGACUCCCAAGGGAAAACGGGAUGUGCAAGCAGAAGAGAGACAGAAGGACCGUGGAGCUACCUGCUGGGACAAGAAUAGUGCAGUUUCACAGGCUAAGAACGACGAGGGUUGGGCGAGUUUAGAAUGAGCAGAUCCACGUAGGGUUCGAAUUAUACAUGUCUAUGGAUCUCUAUGCACUGCUCCGGGAAACAGGAGCAGAGAGGCAGGCCUAAAAUGCCGUCGCGGAUGAAGCGGGGCCAGAACUUCACUGCUCCCGCUCCGACCGAGGGCCCCAGGUGUCGCGCGGGUCGAAGCCCUAACCUCCGGGGACUCCAGACCCCAGCCAGUGACCCAAACCCCACAACUCGCGGCCAGCACAGCCUUCUCGUCUCCGUCGCCACAGUCGCCGCCACUUCCGGCGCACCUCGGCCUC
Macaca fascicularis (crab-eating macaque) is the source of this 2210-nucleotide long non-coding RNA. The record is from Ensembl. Lineage: Eukaryota; Metazoa; Chordata; Mammalia; Primates; Cercopithecidae.